Molecule: ribosomal RNA, 253 nt
Filed under: uncultured bacterium
Lineage: Bacteria
Description: partial 16S ribosomal RNA
Rfam family: Bacterial small subunit ribosomal RNA
Source: RNAcentral
UACAGAGACCUCAAGCGUUAUCCGGAUUUAUUGGGCGUAAAGCGUGUGUAGGCGGAUUAAUUAGUCAGAUGUUAAAUCUCGGGGCUCAACCCCGAAUCAGCAUUUGAAACGGUUAGUCUAGAGAAUGUGAGAGAUCAGUGGAAUUUAUGGUGUAGUAGUGAAAUGCGUUGAUAUCAUAAGGAACACCCAAGGCGAAGGCAACUGAUUGGCACAUUUCUGACGCUGAGACACGAAAGCGUGGGGAGCGAAUAGG